AAGGCCUAGUCCUAUCGAAGACUAGCAUCUUCAGGGUCUUGCAGCAAUAGACGAGAGUAGAACAGGUAACACAAAUAUAGUCAUAUUGUUGCAGCAAGAUUAAUAUGAGGUCACGCCCAGAGAUCCUUCCUCGACUCCCUGCGAGGAAGCAAUCCCGGAGCAACUAUUCCAGUUAAGUAACAUUUGUAGUUGUAUAAGAUCAGGGCACAACUCCAAGUCGUCUUGUAAUCAUGGACACGGCUAUCCGAAUAGUUCAUUUAUUCCCUGUAGGGGUGCACAACAUAUUCCCCGUCACGCUCGAUAACACUCUGGCCGGACACACUUUUCUGGGUCAUGCCCGGCCUCGGAAUAUCGACACGUUGCAGCCCCACCUAAGCUCAACACAGAGGCCAGCCCACCGGUCUAACUCCUAAGCACAAAGGGGUUGUGGGCCCUCUUGCCCUCUACGCUCCUGCACGAUGCAAGGGCGGCCGAUGUCAGUCCUAGCACCCCUUAUUACAAGCGCGAUGCAUCUCGGGACCACUCGGGCGUGCGCCGCUCCAUUGCUGAUGUCUGAAGAGCCUCGGCUCAUACCACGACGUCGAGUACCCAUAAUUCUUCCCACGCAGACGGUUAGUGUGUAAUAAGGACUUCCGACCAACCCAGAUCAAAUACCCAAAUCCAUUAUCAUUUUAAUUAAGUCAACGACACAUCCACGUGGGAAUCCACCCGCCUAACAUCUAUUCAUCAAAGAUCCCAGUAGCAUGGUCAAGUAACUGUGUGGUUGUAACAUCAGGGGGAAUCCGAGGUAUCACCCUCGCUGGAUUCCGAACUAUGUAUCCGUCAAGGUGGACUUAGAGGAAUCACCCUCGAGGGUCCCACACUUGAGGGGUUGCAUGACAGAGACAUCGUCGGGAGUGGUGAAGGAGGAAUCACCCUCGAUAACCAUGACCGACUAGCUACACUACAAAGGUAUCAUCAUGAGUACUUCGCGAGGUGUCACCCUCGGUACCCGAUAGUAGCUCUGUAGUGCCGCACAACUAAGGGGGUUGUAAGUGUUGUGCCGGUUCUUGGCUCGUCGAUAAGGGAUCGAGACUUAACAUUAAAGCGGGGCAACUGGACUAAGGGGUCAGAGGGGAUGAUUGCUCCACCUAUACUAAACAGUUUUAGAGUGCAGUACUGAAGGUAGCAGUUCAUCAAAAUUAGGCUAUGCAUCAGAUAUAGGAGCUAACUACAACAGUAGCAAAAUUCUAAUGCAAGCACGAGGAAGAAAAACAUAGGCGAUAUAGGGAUGAUCAAGGGGGGUUUUCUUACCUUGUUGCUCUGCGGUAAAGGGCUGGUCGUCAGGAGGGUAGAUGUACCC
This 1342-nucleotide long non-coding RNA is filed under the name Hordeum vulgare. RNAcentral's name for it is "long non-coding RNA (HVUL_LNC012544)". The record is from RNAcentral. Lineage: Eukaryota; Viridiplantae; Streptophyta; Magnoliopsida; Poales; Poaceae.